GACGAACGCUGGCGGCGUGCUUAACACAUGCAAGUCGAACGGAAAGGCCUGCUUUCCCUUGUGGAUUGCGGGUACUCGAGUGGCGAACGGGUGAGUAACACGUGCGUGAUCUGCCCCCAACUUGGGUAUAAGCCUGGGAAACUGGGUCUAAUUCCCGCUAGGUCUGCAGGGUGGUGCCUGUGGUGGCAAACGAUUUUCUAGUGGUUGGGGCUGAGCUCGCGGCCUAUCAGCUUGUUGGUGGGGUAAUGGCCUACCAAGGCUGCGACGGGUAGCCGGCCAGGGAGGGUGGACGGGCACAGUGGGACGGAGACACGGCCCAUACUACAACGGGAAGAAGCAGUGGGGAGUAAUGCGCGAUGAGUGGAAGCCUGAGGCAGGGAGGCCGCGUGGGGGAUGACGGGUUUCGGGUGGUGAACUCCGGGCGGCAGCGAGGAAGCGACCGGGUUGGAGGGGGGGUGACGGUAGUGGUAGAAGAAGCACCGGCUAACUACGUG
This 494-nucleotide ribosomal RNA is filed under the name uncultured bacterium. Its description in RNAcentral is "partial 16S ribosomal RNA". It matches the Rfam family "Bacterial small subunit ribosomal RNA", at positions 28 to 507 of the family's 1533-position model. The record is from RNAcentral.